This 764-nucleotide ribosomal RNA is filed under the name uncultured archaeon. Its description in RNAcentral is "bacterial SSU rRNA". It matches the Rfam family "Archaeal small subunit ribosomal RNA", at positions 112 to 879 of the family's 1478-position model. The record is from RNAcentral.
GCAUAGUGGGGUGGUUAACCCGGGAACUGGGUAUAAUACCCGAUAGAUCUGGACGGCUGGAAUGCGUCUAGAUUCAAAGUUCCGACGCCCAAGGAUGGGUCUGCGGCCUAUCAGGUUGUAGUGGGUGUAAUGUACCUACUAGCCUAAUACGGGUACGGGUUGUGAGAGCAAGAGCCCGGAGAUGGAUUCUGAGACACGAAUCCAGGCCCUACGGGGUGCAGCAGGCGCGAAACCUUUACAAUGCGGGCAACCGCGAUAAGGGGACCUCGAGUGCCGACAUCUAAUGUCGGCUGUCGUGAUGCCUAAAAAGCAUUAUAUAGCAAGGGCCGGGCAAGACCGGUGCCAGCCGCCGCGGUAACACCGGCGGCUCGAGUGGUGACCGCUAUUAUUGGGUUUAAAGGGUCUGUAGCCGGCCGGAUUAGUCUCUUGGGAAAUCUGGCCGCUUAACGGUCAGGCUUUCAGGAGAUACUGUCUGGCUCGAGGCCGGGAGAGGUGAGAGGUACUUCAGGGGUAGGGGUGAAAUCUUGUAAUCCUUGAAGGACCACCAGUGGCGAAGGCGUCUCACCAAAACGGACCUGACGGCAAGGGACGAAAGCUAGGGGCACGAACCGGAUUAGAUACCCGGGUAGUCCUAGCCGUAAACGAUACUCGCUAGGUGUCGGCCGCGGUGCGACCGUGGUCGGUGCCGUAUGGAAACCGUGAAGCGAGCCACCUGGGAAGUACGGCCGCAAGGCUGAAACUUAAAGGAAUUGGCGGGGGAGCAC